GCCGUCGUAGCGCAAUGGUAGCGCGUCGCUUUCCUAAGGCGAAGGUUGCGAGUUCGAUCCUCGUCGUCGGUA
RNAcentral lists this transfer RNA (72 nucleotides) under Armillaria ostoyae. It matches the Rfam family "tRNA". From Rfam's summary of the family: Transfer RNA (tRNA) molecules are approximately 80 nucleotides in length. Their secondary structure includes four short double-helical elements and three loops (D, anti-codon, and T loops). Lineage: Eukaryota; Fungi; Basidiomycota; Agaricomycetes; Agaricales; Physalacriaceae. The record is from RNAcentral.